RNAcentral lists this ribosomal RNA (495 nucleotides) under uncultured bacterium. RNAcentral describes it as "partial 16S ribosomal RNA". It matches the Rfam family "Bacterial small subunit ribosomal RNA", at positions 29 to 506 of the family's 1533-position model. The record is from RNAcentral.
AUGAACGCUGGCGGCGUGCCUAAUACAUGCAAGUCGAGCGAACGGACGAGAAGCUUGCUUCUCUGAUGUUAGCGGCGGACGGGUGAGUAACACGUGGAUAACCUACCUAUAAGACUGGGAUAACUUCGGGAAACCGGAGCUAAUACCGGAUAAUAUUUUGAACCGCAUGGUUCAAAAGUGAAAGACGGUCUUGCUGUCACUUAUAGAUGGAUCCGCGCUGCAUUAGCUAGUUGGUAAGGUAACGGCUUACCAAGGCAACGAUGCAUAGCCGACCUGAGAGGGUGAUCGGCCACACUGGAGCUGAGACACGGUCCAGACUCCUACGGGAGGCAGCAGUAGGGAAUCUUCCGCAAUGGGCGAAAGCCUGACGGAGCAACGCCGCGUGAGUGAUGAAGGUCUUCGGAUCGUAAAACUCUGUUAUUAGGGAAGAACAUAUGUGUAAGUAACUGUGCACAUCUUGACGGUACCUAAUCAGAAAGCCACGGCUAACUACGU